RNAcentral lists this non-coding RNA (31 nucleotides) under Mus musculus (house mouse). The record is from RNAcentral. Lineage: Eukaryota; Metazoa; Chordata; Mammalia; Rodentia; Muridae.
UGAAUUUUCCUCAUCAGCUGCAAGGGUCCUC